GUUUCAGCAGGAUCCCUGGAAUCAAGAGAUUGAAACCUUCAUAGUAAAACGACUCUUCAGUGAACAUCAUAAAAUAAAAAACCUUACGAUGAGGCGACAAUGUGAGAAGAAACUACAGGUGAUUUGAGUCACGUGCUGUACCAACAUGCUACGAUGGCAGCAGCCGCCGCUGUUUUAUCCUGAUCAAUUAUUUCUUGCAAUUGGAUCUACGAACAAUGAGACUCCACCAUACAAAAAUAGCAGGGAAACCUCACUCUCGAAAGGAAUCGAGAGGGGGGAAACAAAAAAAGGGCGUCCACCCCAUCAUGACGUUGAUCAUGAAGGCCAGAACAUCGAGCUUCAUCAUCUUCAUCAUCAUCCACGCCGUAGCCAUCGACUCCCUCAUCCAUCUCGUAGUAAUCCCGAAGACUAUUAUGGAUGCAUACAUGUACCAUUUUAAUCGUUCAUCUGUUAAGUGUAUACCCUUUGGUGAUGUCUUGUGCCCCAUGUGCGAG
Molecule: long non-coding RNA, 494 nt
Filed under: Hordeum vulgare
Lineage: Eukaryota; Viridiplantae; Streptophyta; Magnoliopsida; Poales; Poaceae
Description: long non-coding RNA (HVUL_LNC000190)
Source: RNAcentral